AGAUUCUCGAGCUGGAGGAGGCCAUCGCGUGGAUGAUGGUCAUCCAUGUCACCGGGACCAAAGGGAAGGUGAAUCACGAGAUAACAUUUGGUGCCAAGGAUUCGGGAAGGUGAACUAAUACCAAGAACCAUGUCGCCGGAUGAUUCCGGAAGAGAUGGUCCUGAUAGUCGAGAUAAACGGUGCAUUGGGUGAACUUGUUACUACAGGAU
Triticum dicoccoides is the source of this 209-nucleotide long non-coding RNA. RefSeq lists it as uncharacterized. NCBI's taxonomy places the organism in Eukaryota, Viridiplantae, Streptophyta, Magnoliopsida, Poales, Poaceae. The transcript has 3 exons. The record is from RefSeq and is a predicted model, not a curated record.